AUGAGCCUCACGCUCCACGCCAUGGCAGACGAUGGUCGUGUCGCGCCUCCACCCCCCUCCCCCCGGCGCUGCCCAGGCAUCUGCUCCAGGCUCGCAGUACGGCCUCACCGAGACGAAGCCCCCGCUGCCGGCCAUGAUUGGGCCGCGCGCGGGGACGGCAAAGAUCGCAACCACAUAAGACAUGGUGGAGCCGAUGCAGUACCUGUACGUGAGAGCGUCGUCAAGGCGCACGACCUGCCCAGCAUGGACCUCACCGGCGCGCUGGACCCGUACGUGGAGGUGAAGCUCGACAACUCCAAGGGCGUCACGCGGUUUCAGGCUGGAGUAGUCGCGCUCCCAGUCGCACCUCCAUUGCCGUUGGUCGUUGUCGUCCACGCUGCCCCUGCCGCUGCAUGGGGGUCUAGAGCGGCGGGUGCGCCGGCGGGUGCAGGUGCUGGGCGCUGA
RNAcentral lists this ribosomal RNA (444 nucleotides) under Triticum aestivum (bread wheat). Its description in RNAcentral is "partial small subunit ribosomal RNA". Lineage: Eukaryota; Viridiplantae; Streptophyta; Magnoliopsida; Poales; Poaceae. The record is from RNAcentral.